RNAcentral lists this ribosomal RNA (468 nucleotides) under uncultured bacterium. RNAcentral's name for it is "partial 16S ribosomal RNA". It matches the Rfam family "Bacterial small subunit ribosomal RNA", at positions 28 to 507 of the family's 1533-position model. The record is from RNAcentral.
GACGAACGCUGGCGGCGUGCUUAACACAUGCAAGUCGAACGGAAAGGCCCUGCUUUUGUUGGUUGCUCGAGUGGCGAACGGGUGAGUAACACGUGAGUAACCUGCCCUUGACUUUGGGAUAACUUCAGGAAACUGGGGCUAAUACCGGAUAGGAGCUCCUGCUGCAUGGUGGGGGUUGGAAAGUUUCGGCGGUUGGGGAUGGACUCGCGGCUUAUCAGCUUGUUGGUGGGGUAGUGGCUUACCAAGGCUUUGACGGGUAGCCGGCCUGAGAGGGUGACCGGCCACAUGGGGACUAAGGGACGGAGCAGACGGCUACGGGAGGCAGCAGGGGGGAAUAUGGCACAAUGGGCGGAAGCCUGAGGCAGAAACGCCGCGUGCGGGAUGACGGCCUUCGGGUUGUAAACCGCUGUCGCCUGUGACGAAGCGUGAGUGACGGUAAUGGGUAAAGAAGCACCGGCUAACUACGUG